ACUCAUAAAAGUUAAAGAAAUAUAAUGUAUAGAGUAAAAAAAAUGAAGCUACAAUUCGUACUAAUAUUUAUUACCUUUGAAACCUUAUUAUUUAUAAACCAUAAUUUUUAUUGUAUUAUUGAGGGAAUUUUCUAAAUUGUAACCUUGUAACAAAUACAUUCUUAAAAUUUUCUUAGAUUUAGCUCUCUAACAUAACCUCUAACCUCUCAAAAUAAUCUGUAAUUAUAACAUGUCUUUGUUUUUGUGCUUGAAGGAUAAAAUUUAAAUACUAAUCAAUAAACAAUCAUUUUUUGGAUUAUUAUUAUUAUUAU
This 311-nucleotide long non-coding RNA is filed under the name Physcomitrium patens. RNAcentral describes it as "long non-coding RNA (PPAT_LNC010046)". The record is from RNAcentral. Lineage: Eukaryota; Viridiplantae; Streptophyta; Bryopsida; Funariales; Funariaceae.